CAUGUCCAGUUCUGUAAACAAAUUCUCAACUGCACCAGAAGGCCUGACAGUUAAGAGAACCCAGUGAAGAAACCUUUUGCAGAGAGAGAAAAGAACCCUUUUGAAUGUGAUCAAUCACGCUGAUUUAUUUGGAUGAUUUCUCUUCUGGAUUUCCUUAAACCAGGGAAAACCCAGGGACAGCAAUUGCUAUAAUUGAUGCAAACGAUCCCAGCCACACUCCCUGAUCCUGGUUCUGAAACUCAGAGAUGCAGCUGACCAGACUGAUGUGGCCAGCCUCACUCUGAAGGAUCCUGCAGCAGACAAAUUGCUGGAAUGUGUUCAGACGGAAUCCAGCUGCUACAACCGUCACACAAACUUCCUGAAAUAGAGGACAAAAGAGACAGAGGUCUUGCUAUGUUGCCCAGGCUGGUCUCAAGCUCCUGGCCUCAAGCGAUUCUCCUUCCUCAGCCUCCAAAAGUGCUGGGAUUACAGGCCACAAAAUGCAUGGCACAGGGAAGGGUUUGACAACUUUUUGAUGGAUGAACAAAGAAGAUUCAAGCCACUUGUCAACAAGCUCAAAGUGAUUGAAAGUGGAAGCAUUUACCCACACGCUCAUGCAGAAAAUGACAGGAAAUCAUCCAGAGACACUUGUGACAGAGAUGAGAACUGUCACUGUUGAGAGGUGCUGCGGAGAUGGGUGUCCACGGAUGACCGUUCGGAGGCCGACUUCGGGGAUGUGGCCCCAUUAGCUCAAGAGUGGGUGACUCCCUACCACACUGAUGGCGUUGGCCAGGACAGGACAAGCCUACUGCAGUGACACAGUGUCACUGAUCCCUGAUGCCCACGUGGGUGUUUUACUUUAGCUAAUGCUGCAGAGAUAAUGCAGACAGAGAAAUGAGGCCCCAGCGCUGAGCAGCCCAAUCACCUGGUUGUAAGCAGCGAGUGUUUCUGGCUCUGCUCCUGGGCCCCAAACCACUGUGGGCUCACGAAGAAUCUUUCAGAGUUGGAGUCAGAAUGUCAGGGUUUGAGUGUAGUCUCCACCCCUUAAUGACCUUGCAUUGAUAAUUCUAUUCCCCGAGCCUCAUUUUACCCAUCUAUAAAAUGAGGACAAAUAGUUUAUUUCCUGGUUACUUCACUAAGAUGUUGUAUCAAAAAAGAAUAUAUGCAAUAAAAUGCUUUCCUAAGUAAAAAAAGAUUUCCUAAGUCAAA
RNAcentral lists this long non-coding RNA (1188 nucleotides) under Homo sapiens (human). RNAcentral's name for it is "novel transcript". Lineage: Eukaryota; Metazoa; Chordata; Mammalia; Primates; Hominidae. The record is from RNAcentral.